GACGAACGCUGGCAGCGUGCUUAACACAUGCAAGUCGAGCGGUAAGGCCCUUUCGGGGGUACGACGAGCGGCGAACGGGUGAGUAACACGUGGGUGACCUGCCCUUAGCUCUGGGAUAAGCCUGGGAAACUGGGUCUAAUACCGGAUAUGACUCCAUGACGCAUGUUGUGGGGUGGAAAGCCUUGUGCGGCUAGGGAUGGGCCCGCGGCCUAUCAGCUUGUUGGUGGGGUGAUGGCCUACCAAGGCGACGACGGGUAGCCGGCCUGAGA
This 269-nucleotide ribosomal RNA is filed under the name uncultured bacterium. Its description in RNAcentral is "partial 16S ribosomal RNA". It matches the Rfam family "Bacterial small subunit ribosomal RNA", at positions 28 to 297 of the family's 1533-position model. The record is from RNAcentral.